Numida meleagris (helmeted guineafowl) is the source of this 995-nucleotide long non-coding RNA. RefSeq lists it as uncharacterized. The record is from RefSeq and is a predicted model, not a curated record. NCBI's taxonomy places the organism in Eukaryota, Metazoa, Chordata, Aves, Galliformes, Numididae. The transcript is spliced from 2 exons.
GAACAAGCUUGUUUGUCCUCAAUGAUUUUGCACUGGGGACAUAAUAGAAUGCUUUUAUGUUUUGCCUCAAAACGUGUAAGGACAAUUUCCUCGGGUUCCACUCACGUUGUUUUUAACAAAGUGGCUCACUCUGGCCCAAUAAACAAUGGAAUUCUUCCAAACUGGUGAAAAGCGGAUGGCAGUGGGUCAAAGGCAUCAGAGAUGAAGCCGAUGGUGAAAAUAGGCGGAAGAAGUAGGUGGGCACUCGACCACCCUUGAUACCACUGAGCAUGCCCAAAGGGACAUUAGCGCAUAUCCCUGUGACCUUGAAGAAGAAUGAAUAUGUACAGCAGCGUACUACAGAUUUGAACUUAACUGUUCCAAUGCAGAACCUGAACUCUGAGAGGGCACGCUUGCUUGUCAGGUCACCCGGUGCCUAUCAUGGGGAAUAAAGGAAUGCCGCUUUCUAACACCACACUGGAGUUAGAGAGUUUUCUUCCUGGAUUUCAGAUGACCAUUUUUGGUGCCCAACGUGGGACAGUGCAACUGAGAUCUCGUGGACCGAAGGACUGGAGAGGACCUCCAUUCAGCACACACACACAGAGUGAUUCUUGGGGAGCUCCCCCCGAUCCCGGCUCCAUCGGGACCAGCCGCGAGUUCCCUGCCAUACGGUUUGUGGCGCAGGCAGCACCAACACCUCUGGAAGUCACAGUACUUCCAUUCCAACUCCACGAGUGAAUGUAUCUACAGACCUGGAGCUCUGAAUCACUACAGGAGAAGCGGAAAGGACCAUCUCAAAUCCUACUGACAACGCACACUGCUAUCAAGGUGGCAGGAGCAGAAUCUUGAGUUCAUUACACAAGAACAAAAAGUGCCCAGCUCACAGUGGCAAGCAGAACAGACUGCACUGAAGAAACUGAAAUUUCCACUUAAAUGAAUGCAACUUGUGAACAGGGAAACGAGAAAUCACAUUAUGAGCUGAAUGUAGUUAUUGAGAUAAAGUUACCUUUAGAGUA